RNAcentral lists this long non-coding RNA (764 nucleotides) under Homo sapiens (human). RNAcentral's name for it is "HSALNT0211364". Lineage: Eukaryota; Metazoa; Chordata; Mammalia; Primates; Hominidae. The record is from RNAcentral.
GAUCAUCAGAGCCACUCUCCUUCUUUCAACCUGGUGAUAAUAUGUAUUUAUUCACAUGCCCUUUGACCACUUCCCCCUCUUCUGUCACUCUAAGCUCCCUGAGAAGAGGAUCUUCAAUUCAUUUAUGCCUCCCGGAGCUCCUGGAACAGCACUGCCUUACAGAUAGCAGUUGGGACUUGUGUUACGGUCUUCAAUGGAGGCUGAGGUCCAAGUCACAAGAAGUCCAAGGCACAAGAAGCUCAACUGCAAGUCCUGCCACACAGUGACAACAGCCACCAAUGUGCUGUCAAGAUUUGGAUCAAACACUCCAUGCCAGGCUCAUCAAGAAGCAGCUAGAUGGGGUCUGCCCCCUACACAUUCCCCUCCCAGUGGCCCCUCCCUAGCCCGUAUGGGUCCUCCUAGCACCCAGGCCAUGUGUGGUGAGGGGCUGACAUCUCAUCAAGGGAGAGGGGAUACUUUCCCUUCUUGGAUGCCACAUGUAAAGACUGGGGAACCAUAUGAAGGGAAACUACUUGGCUGGAGGUUUGCUGAGCUGUAGAAUCCACAGGCUCACCCUAUGCUGUCACCAAAAUUCAGCAUGAUGAGAGAGCUCUUGGACAGGUCAACCUGGGUCCUCGAGGGAGAGGGAACAUGGAUGUAAAGACUGGUGCCCACACAGGCCUAUACAGUUCUGAAGGCAGAGGCCCCCUGGAGUCGUUGGUACCAGUCAGACUUGAUGGGAUUGUGGGGCAGUGUCUCUGGGAAGAGGAGAGGGCAGCUCCAAC